GAUGAACGCUGGCGGCGUGCCUAAUACAUGCAAGUCGAGCGAACAGACGAGGAGCUUGCUCCUCUGACGUUAGCGGCGGACGGGUGAGUAACACGUGGAUAACCUACCUAUAAGACUGGGAUAACUUCGGGAAACCGGAGCUAAUACCGGAUAAUAUAUUGAACCGCAUGGUUCAAUAGUGAAAGACGGUUUUGCUGUCACUUAUAGAUGGAUCCGCGCCGCAUUAGCUAGUUGGUAAGGUAACGGCUUACCAAGGCAACGAUGCGUAGCCGACCUGAGAGGGUGGUCGGCCACACGAGAACUGAGACACGGUCCAGACUCCUACGGGAGGCAGCAGUAGGGAAUCUUCCGCAGUGGGCGAAAGCCUGACGGAGCAACGCCGCGUGAGUGAUGAAGGUCUUCGGAUCGUAAAACUCUGUUAUUAGGGAAGAACAAAUGUGUAAGUAACUAUGCACGUCUUGACGGUACCUAAUCAGAAAGCCACGGCUAACUACGUG
RNAcentral lists this ribosomal RNA (497 nucleotides) under uncultured bacterium. RNAcentral describes it as "partial 16S ribosomal RNA". It matches the Rfam family "Bacterial small subunit ribosomal RNA", at positions 28 to 507 of the family's 1533-position model. The record is from RNAcentral.